UACGUAGGGGGCAAGCGUUGUCCGGAUUUAUUGGGCGUAAAGCGCUCGCAGGCGGUCCGAUGCGUCGGGCGUGAAAGACCCCGGCUCAACUGGGGAGGGUCGUGCGAUACGGUCGGACUCGAGGGCAGUAGGGGGACGCGGAAUUCCGGGUGUAGUGGUGGAAUGCGUAGAGAUCCGGAGGAACACCAGCGGCGAAGGCGGCGUCCUGGACUGGUACUGACGCUCAGGAGCGAAAGCGUGGGGAGCGAUCCGG
Molecule: ribosomal RNA, 253 nt
Filed under: uncultured bacterium
Lineage: Bacteria
Description: partial 16S ribosomal RNA
Rfam family: Bacterial small subunit ribosomal RNA
Source: RNAcentral